Molecule: small nuclear RNA, 107 nt
Organism: Megalobrama amblycephala (Wuchang bream)
Lineage: Eukaryota; Metazoa; Chordata; Actinopteri; Cypriniformes; Xenocyprididae
Source: RefSeq, a predicted model, not a curated record
GUGCUUGCUAAGGCAGCACAUUUACUAAAAUUGGAUCGAUACAGAGAAGAUUUGCAUGGCCCCUGCAAACGGAUGACAUGCAAAUCUGUGAAGAGCUCUAUGUUUUG